RNAcentral lists this unclassified non-coding RNA (240 nucleotides) under soil metagenome. Its description in RNAcentral is "partial contains 5.8S ribosomal RNA, internal transcribed spacer 2, and large subunit ribosomal RNA". The record is from RNAcentral.
AACAUCGCGCACCUGCGGGAACCUGCGGAAGGAUCAUUACAGAGUUGCAAAACUCCCUAAACCAUUGUGAACGUUACCUAAACCGUUGCUUCGGCGGGCGGCCCGGGUCCUUCCCGGCGCCCAUCGGCCCUCGCGGGCGCCCGCCGGAGGUAAACCAAACUAUUGCAUUGUAUGGCCUCCCUGAGUCUUCUGUACUGAAUAAGUCAAAACUUUCAACAACGGAUCUCAGAUCGGAAGAGC